RNAcentral lists this unclassified non-coding RNA (240 nucleotides) under soil metagenome. RNAcentral's name for it is "partial contains 5.8S ribosomal RNA, internal transcribed spacer 2, and large subunit ribosomal RNA". The stretch from base 1 to 115 matches the Rfam family "5.8S ribosomal RNA", at positions 35 to 154 of the family's 154-position model. The record is from RNAcentral.
GAUGAAGAACGUAGCGAAACGCGAUAUUUCUUGUGAAUUGCAGAAGUGAAUCAUCAGUUUUUGAACGCCCAUUGCACUUUGGGGUAUCCCCCAAAGUAUACUUGUUUGAGCGUUGUUUCUCUCUUGGAAUUGCUUUGCUCUUCUAAAAUUUCGAAUCAAAUUCGUUUGAAAAACAACACUAUUCAACCUCAGAUCAAGUAGGAUUACCCGCUGAACUUAAGCAUAUCAAUAAGCGGAGGA